UGGGGAAUAUUGCACAAUGGGCGCAAGCCUGAUGCAGCCAUGCCGCGUGUAUGAAGACGGCCUUCGGGUUGUAAAGUACUUUCAGCGGGGAGGAAGGGAGUAAAGUUAAUACCUUUGCUCAUUGACGUUACCCGCAGAAGAAGCACCGGCUAACUCCGUGCCAGCAGCCGCGGUAAUACGGAGGGUGCAAGCGUUAAUCGGAAUUACUGGGCGUAAAGCGCACGCAGGCGGUUUGUUAAGUCAGAUGUGAAAUCCCCGGGCUCAACCUGGGAACUGCAUCUGAUACUGGCAAGCUUGAGUCUCGUAGAGGGGGGUAGAAUUCCAGGUGUAGCGGUGAAAUGCGUAGAGAUCUGGAGGAAUACCGGUGGCGAAGGCGGCCCCCUGGACGAAGACUGACGCUCAGGUGCGAAAGCGUGGGGAGCAAACA
RNAcentral lists this ribosomal RNA (427 nucleotides) under uncultured bacterium. RNAcentral's name for it is "partial 16S ribosomal RNA". It matches the Rfam family "Bacterial small subunit ribosomal RNA", at positions 355 to 774 of the family's 1533-position model. The record is from RNAcentral.